CGGGGGUUUGUGGCCCUGCCUGCCGCCUCUCCCUGUGCGGACCUCCCUCGGGAUGACCCUUUGAAUCUCCAGUGCCUCGCUCAGCUCCCGCACAGAGUAGGCACACAAUACACAAUUGAGCAGUAAAUCAAUGACCCACACACUGGGUUUGGGAACAGAACCUGUUUAUCUGUGGCUGAACACCAGAUGCCCUGGGGUGGCUUAUUUAAUUGUCAUUUUCUUUGUGAAUUCAUUAUUGUUUUAUUUCAGUGUUGUUUUUCCAAAGAUCCGCUUCUCCCUGAGCCUGCGGAGCCGGCUUUGAACCAGGCUGAUCAAACACCCGGCAGCUGUGUGAGGGGAGAGCUCAGGGCUCGGGGGAGAGGAAGCUGGAGGCAGGCAGAGCCGGAGCCCUGGGAACACAGACAAAACCCUGAAGAAUGCAGCAGUCACAAUGCCGUCCUGACUGUCACAAUGAUGCCCUGACCAUCACAAUGCCGCCCUGUGACGCCACCACAGCCGGGGCGACCAGCUGAGCUUGCAGCCCCAGGACUGGUGCUCCUCUCUUGGGAGGUGCAUGGGGCUCAGAAGGAAUAGGUGCCACGCAACUGUCCCCAAAUCCAGCUGAUUCCUCCCUCCAGGGGCAAAGUGGUGGCAAAGGUGUGGGCUCUGGGCUCAGAUCAGAUGGGUCUGCAUUUCAGUCUUGGUUCUGCUGCUCCUGGCUGUGCGACCUUGGCCUUCCUCUCUCCAAGCUGCGGUCUCCUCGUCUGCAAAGCAGGGACAACAAUGCUUGCUGCAGCCUGCUGUGAGGAUCAGAUGAGGCCGUGCACAAGGAGCGAUCAGCACGGACUGGAGCAGUGUCUCAUCUACACCAUGUCCCCAGACGGAGCACAGAGCCAGCCACCCAGCAGAUGCUUGAGAAAGUUUGCCAGUCCCUGCCCUAGAGGAUGGCGGGGACACAAGAUUGAAGGAACUGGGACCCCUGAAUCUUUAUGUGGACGAAAUUGGUCUGCCAGCCAGGAACAGCCACUCACCUUGGACUCUUUUGUGAGUGAGAGGUGUCCAGCUCAGAUGGCUUUGUCCCCGCAUUUGUAACUGGGCAGAAGCUGGGGCCCGGAUGUUUCUGGUUGGAGGAUCCCGAGAACAACGCCCCCGCCCCCCACCCCACCGCCCAUGCCUUUGCAGUCUCUGAAUUGCACGUGGGGGCAGAGAUGCCUCCUGAGAAAAUCACCCACAGGUUUCACAGGAAGAAUCAUUUGGGGUUGGGAGGGACUGAGACACAUCAAAUAAAAUAUUUUCAAACCCAAGCAAUGCUUAAAUCCCCUUUUAAAAUAAAAAUAUUUUCCAAGAACUCUCCCCCACUUCUGUUGACUCAAGUAAUUUCUGUCAUCGUGUUACUUAAGUAUGUACCAACAUGAAGGCCGGAGGAAAAUCCAUCUGCUUAUGGCUCUUGCACGACUAUGAAAGCAAAACAAAUGGACAAGUUAGAGAAUGGCCA
This is a long non-coding RNA of Equus caballus (horse), 1474 nucleotides long. The record is from Ensembl. NCBI's taxonomy places the organism in Eukaryota, Metazoa, Chordata, Mammalia, Perissodactyla, Equidae.